UGCGUAGGUGGUUUCUUAAGUCAGAGGUGAAAGGCUACGGCUCAACCGUAGUAAGCCUUUGAAACUGAGAAACUUGAGUGCAGGAGAGGAGAGUAGAAUUCCUAGUGUAGCGGUGAAAUGCGUAGAUAUUAGGAGGAAUACCAGUUGCGAAGGCGGCUCUCUGGACUGUAACUGACACUGAGGCACGAAAGCGUGGGGAGCAAACAG
RNAcentral lists this ribosomal RNA (207 nucleotides) under uncultured Romboutsia sp. Its description in RNAcentral is "partial 16S ribosomal RNA". It matches the Rfam family "Bacterial small subunit ribosomal RNA", at positions 568 to 775 of the family's 1533-position model. Lineage: Bacteria; Bacillati; Bacillota; Clostridia; Peptostreptococcales; Peptostreptococcaceae. The record is from RNAcentral.